UAGAGUUUCCCGGGCCAGAUGACGCGCGCUGUUACCCAUCAGUCGACGAGAAGUCUUUCGGGAGGAGUGAGCGGCGCACGGGGGUAACGUGGAUAAUCUGCCCUGAAGAUCGGGAUAACAGUUGGAAACGGCUGCUAAUACCGUAUAAUCUGCAUAUUUAGCUUUAUGUGGGAAAGAUGGCCUCUACUUGUAAGCUAUCGCUUUUGGAUGAGUCCGCGUCUCAUUAGCUUGUUGGUGGGGUAAUGGCCUACCAAGGCAACGAUGAGUAGCUGGUCUGAGAGGAUGAUCAGCCACACUGGGACUGAAACACGGCCCAGACUCCUACGGGAGGCAGCAGUGGGGAAUAUUGCGCAAUGGGGGAAACCCUGACGCAGCGACGCCGCGUGUAGGAAGAAGGCCUUCGGGUCGUAAACUACUGUCAAGAGGGAAGAAACUGUUGGACAUUAAUACGGUCCUUCACUGACGGUACCUCUAGAGGAAGCACCGGCUAACUCCGUGCCAGCAGCCGCGGUAAUACGGAGGGUGCGAGCGUUAAUCGGAAUCACUGGGCGUAAAGCGUGCGUAGGCGGCGUAUCAAGUCAGGCGUGAAAGCCCUCGGCUCAACCGGGGAAUUGCGCUUGAAACUGGUAUGCUAGAGUCUCGGAGAGGUUGGCGGAAUUCCAGGUGUAGGAGUGAAAUCCGUAGAUAUCUGGAGGAACACCGGUGGCGAAGGCGGCCAACUGGACGAGUACUGACGCUGAGGUACGAAAGCGUGGGUAGCAAACAGGAUUAGAUACCCUGGUAGUCCACGCUGUAAACGAUGGAUAUUAGGUGUCGGGGUUUAACUUCGGUGCCGCAGUUAACGCGUUAAAUAUCCCGCCUGGGGAGUACGGUCGCACCCCCUUG
Molecule: ribosomal RNA, 885 nt
Filed under: Desulfovibrio caledoniensis
Lineage: Bacteria; Pseudomonadati; Thermodesulfobacteriota; Desulfovibrionia; Desulfovibrionales; Desulfovibrionaceae
Description: bacterial SSU rRNA
Rfam family: Bacterial small subunit ribosomal RNA
Source: RNAcentral